GCAUCUGAUCCCCUGGUUGUCCUGUAUAUACCAUGUGACAGCACCCAAGGAGAUCUGCUACAUAUGUUCUCAUCCGUUCACCUUCUCCAAUAACACUAUAGAAAUGGGGUAACAGUGGAACAAUUUCCUCUGCUAUAAUUCCCCUUUAUUUUCCCCUCACCUCAGUUCAUUAUAUUUCCCCAGGAACCACAUUUCUCCCUGCAAAUAAUGCACAACUAUGUUUCAGGCAAGUAAUUUCAUGGACUCAUGCACAGAUCCUUUUUCCUGAAAGGUACAGUUAAUUUAGAACAUACCCUCAAGGACAGCUCUCUGCAGUGGAAGAGAGAAAACAUACGGCUUAAAUUUUCAGCAGCUAAAGUUACAAGAGGAAACAAGACUCACUAUCACUCACCAGUGCAGGAAAGCACAGACAGAGCAUGGAAGUGCAGUAUAAACCUACUGGUUCCUACCUUAAAUGCAGCAUGCUGUAUAGGCAAUUAAAUGUAA
Molecule: non-coding RNA, 486 nt
Organism: Cyanistes caeruleus (blue tit)
Lineage: Eukaryota; Metazoa; Chordata; Aves; Passeriformes; Paridae
Source: RefSeq, a predicted model, not a curated record